AUAUGGGUCUGUUUUUAAAAAAGC
Molecule: non-coding RNA, 24 nt
Filed under: Arabidopsis thaliana (thale cress)
Lineage: Eukaryota; Viridiplantae; Streptophyta; Magnoliopsida; Brassicales; Brassicaceae
Source: RNAcentral